Molecule: small RNA, 1467 nt
Filed under: Pongo abelii (Sumatran orangutan)
Lineage: Eukaryota; Metazoa; Chordata; Mammalia; Primates; Hominidae
Description: processed transcript
Source: RNAcentral
GAGCUAUUACUAACUUCUCCAUUUGAUUUUUUAUGGAUGUGAAAAAUGCUGCUACUUGUCUAUGUUAUUAUGUGGUAUUUGUUCUCUUGGAUUGAAAUUUAUGCCCACAGAUAUUUCUUUUCAUUUGAAAAUGAAUGUGAAGAUAACUGUUUACAGCUUUGGUUAAUUGCACUUUUCAUCACUCUGAUCAAUUUCUUGUAAAGUGCUAUGGGAAUUAUUUUUCCUGUGAAUAUUAAUGAUUUUACUACUGCCUCCGAAGUUUUAAAAAAGGUUCUGUAGACAGAAAACAGUUGUUGUGACCAAAAACAACCAAAAAAAGAAAAAAAGGGAAAACUGGCUUACCUUUCUCAGAUGAAUUAAAUGAUUUUAACAACUUCCCAAUUACCAGGGUUAUACAUUGCUUUAUUCAGUUAUUAAUACAGUCAAAUUAAUUUUAACAAUAUAGGCACAAUUCAUUUACAAAUUCAGUACAGUAGUCCAGGGCUACCUGUAAGUGGUCUCUUUAUUUUAUUCUUUACAUCAGAAAAAUGAAUGUCAGUUUUGCCAGUAUUUUACAAUGAGGCUCAUCGUUUAAAAUUUUAUAGUGUAUGACAUGUAAAUAAACCAGUAUUUAUUGUAGGUUGUUUGACUCAGGCAUUUCAAAUGGAUAUAGGUUAAUGGCAAUGGAAUCCUAUUUAUUUGGUAGUUGGUUUUUUUUGUUUGUUUUUGUUUAUUUACUUUUGCUAUUUGUGUUGUCUAAACUUUGCUUCAACUGAAGACAGUGUAAGGAGUUGAAAAUAGAAUCAACAUAGCAAUGGAAAGCAAUGCAAAGAGGGUAAAUCUUGUUUUAAUUUUUUUAACUUUUUUUUUUUGUAAAUAAAUAGUACUGUGAUACUUUAGGUGUGACCUCUAUUCCACACGAUAGUUAGAACCAGAAAAACAUUUUUGCUUUCUAGUUAUACUAUUGGUUCAUUGUAAAUGCAUUACCAAAAGACAAUAUGAAAAAGAGCAAGAUUAAGUUUUUCUAACAUUGUCCACUUCAGGGGCAAGCAUGCUUGGUAUAGAGCUCUAGCUUGUGUAUACCUUAAACUGUAACUUGCAGGUGUUUUUCAGUUGCUGCACUUUUUAUUUAAUCUUGCUCAGUCCCAGUAACUAUCUCAAAGGUAAUUGCUGGAAUAUGCAUUUUGAAAUACGGUUUAAAAAAAAUCUGUGUAUUGUUUCAUCUAAAAAGAAAAGCACUAUUGCAAACACUAAAAACGUGUUAAACUUUGUAGUUAUUUUGCAUUCCUGUACUUUACAAACUGUCAUCACAGCAAAAAGUUUAAUUAGGUAAUGAAAUAUUUUUGUAAAUAAAUACCGUUAAGCUGGUAUUUUAAAAAAUGUAUUAUAAAUUAAUGUUUCUGGAAAAUGUUCAUAUAUAUGUAUAUGAAUGUCUCUUUAUGCUGAAGGGCUCUGAUUGGGCAAAAUAAAAUACUCUAAUCUCUCCUG